Molecule: long non-coding RNA, 257 nt
Filed under: Pelobates cultripes (western spadefoot toad)
Lineage: Eukaryota; Metazoa; Chordata; Amphibia; Anura; Pelobatidae
Source: RNAcentral
GAGCUAUCUGGGGAUAUGUAGAACAUAUAUGUUUUAUGUACUGAAUGUAACUGUAGGUAAUUUUAUGUCUUUUACUGUUUGUUUUCUGCCAUGUGGUUAAUGGAGUUUUGCCUCUGUCUUUGGAGAUAAUUGAAUUACUUCCCAAAUUAUCUCCAGGGCAGAGAGGAGGGAUUGUGAUGCAUUCUGGGAUGGUUGAAAUGUGUAAGUCUGUGAUUGGUCCUUUUACCCUUUGUGUCCCAGUCUCCCAUUUGGUCCCC